AGGAAUAGCAACUGAUUCAAGUCCAGUGACCUUACUAGGGGCAUUUAAAGCCGCAAAUUUUCAGAACAUAAUCCAGGCUUGGAUUUUAGCACAUAAACUAUUAUGGAGAGAAUUGGUCUUAGUUCUGGUUUAGAUAGAAUCAGUGAUCUUCCAAGCAAUGUAAUAGACCACAUCCUCGCAUGUUUGCCAUUAAAAGAUGCUGUGAGGACCAGUACCUUGUCAAAGAAUUGGAGGGAAAAAUGGCAUGCGGUGCCGCAUAUUAUAGUUGAUGAGAACUUUUUUCAUGAAAGGUCACAACGGAAGCUUGAGGGUAUAAUCAAUUAUAUCCUUACUAGACAUGAAGGGAAAAUUGAGAAAUUUUCUGUGUCUAUUGAAAA
Molecule: unclassified non-coding RNA, 377 nt
Filed under: Hevea brasiliensis (rubber tree)
Lineage: Eukaryota; Viridiplantae; Streptophyta; Magnoliopsida; Malpighiales; Euphorbiaceae
Source: RNAcentral